AUUUGGCUUAAAAGCCGGCAUUCGGCUUUGCCACCACAACUCAUCCUGAGCCAUGAAGAUCCUUCACCUGUGCUUGGCAGUCCUCUCCUUGCUGCUCCUGGUUUCCCCAGGAUCUGCACAGGAGGAACCUAGCAGUAAUGAGGAAUGUCUUAAAGCCAACGGCCGUUGCUACCGUAAACGUUGUCCCGUUAAUCAUGAAAAGAUUGGAACGUGUGUUUUAUCCAGUUUUUUCUGUUGCAAAAGAUUGGAGGAGUGAUAGAUGCCUUUGAAAUAUGGAAGAUGCUCCCUCUCUUUGAGAGCCGCUGGAUCCCACUUCAUCCCCAGCUAGGGACUUCUCCUCCAUAGCAUCCAGACUGAAAAAAAGCAACAUUUUCAAGGCUUACAUGAGCUUGUGCUUUGCAAUAA
Molecule: long non-coding RNA, 405 nt
Organism: Lacerta agilis (Sand lizard)
Lineage: Eukaryota; Metazoa; Chordata; Lepidosauria; Squamata; Lacertidae
Exons: 3
Source: RefSeq, a predicted model, not a curated record